Hemicordylus capensis (graceful crag lizard) is the source of this 458-nucleotide long non-coding RNA. RefSeq lists it as uncharacterized. The transcript has 2 exons. NCBI's taxonomy places the organism in Eukaryota, Metazoa, Chordata, Lepidosauria, Squamata, Cordylidae. The record is from RefSeq and is a predicted model, not a curated record.
UGGCGGGGAAUGAGCGCGACGUUUGUCCGGGGCAGUCAUGGGCUCGGGGAUUUAUUUUGCGCGGCAGUUUGAGCGACGCUUUGGAGUCUUCCCUGGGAAAGCUUGUGAGCACGCUCGAAAAGAGUUCGGAGAGAGGGUCGCUCAGCGGGCAACUAUCCGCCCCGCCCCGGGGAAACAUUUGUGGCUUUCUGCUGGAAACUGGCAUUCUAGCAAUGUGGUGGGGUUGCCCAUCUUAGUUACCAAGGGAAUGGCAUCCCCAAAUGCAGACAUCGGUGGGACACCAGGGCUGAUGGGCGCCCAGCAGUAAAGUGGGAAGCCAAGCUCCUCUGUUUGCCAUGCAGCUUCCAAGGAACGGGCCCUGCAAGACUAAAAAGGAAGCAACUCCUGUUCCUCUGUAAUGUUGUCAGAACUUACUCUGUUGCUGAUCUUGUUCAAUAAAAGCAGUGAUUGAGCCCUUC